GACGAACGCUGGCGGCGUGCUUAACACAUUCAAGUCGAACGGAAAGGCCCUGCUUUUGUGGGGUGCUCGAGUGGCGAACGGGUGAGUAACACGUGAGUAACCUGCCCUUGACUUUGGGAUAACUUCAGGAAACUGGGGCUAAUACCGGAUAGGAGCUCCUGCUGCAUGGUGGGGGUUGGAAAGUUUCGGCGGUUGGGGAUGGACUCGCGGCUUAUCAGCUUGUUGGUGGGGUAGUGGCUUACCAAGGCUUUGACGGGUAGCCGGCCUGAGAGGGUGACCGGCCACAUUGGGACUGAGAUACGGCCCAGACUCCUACGGGAGGCAGCAGUGGGGAAUAUUGCACAAUGGGCGGAAGCCUGAUGCAGCAACGCCGCGUGCGGGAUGACGGCCUUCGGGUUGUAAACCGCUUUGGCCUGUGACGAAGCGUGAGUGACGGUAAUGGGUAAAGAAGCACCGGCUAACUACGUG
This 468-nucleotide ribosomal RNA is filed under the name uncultured bacterium. RNAcentral's name for it is "partial 16S ribosomal RNA". It matches the Rfam family "Bacterial small subunit ribosomal RNA", at positions 28 to 507 of the family's 1533-position model. The record is from RNAcentral.